This is a long non-coding RNA of Lucilia sericata (common green bottle fly), 611 nucleotides long. RefSeq lists it as uncharacterized. Lineage: Eukaryota; Metazoa; Arthropoda; Insecta; Diptera; Calliphoridae. The transcript has 4 exons. The record is from RefSeq and is a predicted model, not a curated record.
CGAAGAGAACUUUUUAUAAAAUAAAAAAGCUAAAAAAAAUGUGAAAAUAAAAAAAAUAACAAUUAAAUAGAUGUAAGAGACCGUCACAAAGCCUGCUUUUGUCGCAAAGCCUGUGGAGUGACAAACGUAGGGAAUCAAGUGGAAACGAGCUUUAUGUUGGCUUUCAAGGAAGAGUCCGUCUAUUGGUCCGUAGGUCUCUUGGCUCUCUUGGACUAUGAAAAAGAUUAGUUUGCACAGAAUGAAACCCAAUGAUUGAGGAAUCAUAGACAAUCCAUUAUUAUUCUAAAUUGAUUCCUAUCUUUAUGUCCCUAUGUAUAUAUGUAUGGAUGUAGUAAUCGUUUGGCUCAACAAGAUUAAACGAGCUGGAUAUAAUUUUUCUUCCGAUCUUAUUUUCUGCAUUUGGGUUGAUGUGAAUUGAUAAGGUGUGAACUAUUUUCGUAACCUCCAUUUCACCAACGUUGGUAUAGUAUUCUAGUGCAUCUUAAGUUUUCCUAUGAUGUUAAACAUAAGAUAGAUGUAAUUUACAUAUAUUUAAAUUUCCUUUGUCUUGCAUAAAAUUUUAAUAUUUUACUUUUCCUUUAGGAAAACUAAAUAAAAAUUUUAUGUGUGAA